CAGGGAUGGUAUAUUAGUUUGGUUGCAGCUUUAAUUUCCACAUACACUCGGGAAGGAGAUGGCACGAACCAUCCUUUCUUCUAUAUCUGUUCCUUUUCUUAUUCUGCUAAUGAUUGUCUUUACUCUCGUUGCACAGAUUACUCCAAUUAGUGCAGGUUUGUCUAUUAUAUAUGCAAAGAUGUGAAAAUGAGAAGAUUGGGUCCCCUCCUAAGUCCACCUCCUCCACCUGAUCAUGCAGAUGGUCCUCAUCCUGUUGGUCCUCAUCCUGUUAUUCCUCCACCAACUGAUGGACCUGGUCGUCCUCCACCCAUUCCCUAACUUUUCAUGAUAUUUUGAUCCCUGAAAUAUUACAAUAAAUCCACAUGGGCUUCAAGCUUUGAUUCUCAUUUUGUUUGCGCAGUUUACAUUAUAAGGUUUUUAUGUACAAAUCAUGCUAUUUGUCUAAAGGCUGUAUUUAAUUACUGAUCGAAUAUUUUAUUCAAAGCGUGUAUGUGCAAAAUAGAUUCGGAGAAAUUAAAAGCCUUUUUAUAGAUU
This is an RNA transcript of Glycine soja, 534 nucleotides long. RefSeq lists it as uncharacterized. NCBI's taxonomy places the organism in Eukaryota, Viridiplantae, Streptophyta, Magnoliopsida, Fabales, Fabaceae. The record is from RefSeq and is a predicted model, not a curated record. The transcript has 2 exons.